UUAAAUGAAAUAAGCCCAUUAUAAAUAAAUAGAACAUGGCCCUAUAAAAACAAGCCCAACUACUUAUUAAAAACGGCCCAAAACCCGGCCCAAAACCCGGCCCAACCUCAAACACCCUAACCCAAACCCUUCUUCUUUUCUUCCCCCUUCUUCUACCUAAGCUGCGCCCCUCCCCCUUCAUUCUCGUCUCUCUCUCUUCUCCCACUCUCGGCGCCUCUGCGCUCUCUCCGCCGCCGCCGCCGUUCAAUGGCGCCAUCGCCGCCGACGAGCGGCGCUCUGCUCUCCCUCGGCAUCUCUCCUCUUCCUCUCGGUUCUCUCCCUCUCUCUCAGUUCUCACUGACUCACACACACACGCACGCAGACACGGCGUAAGCCGCGCCGCCGCGUCGUCUUCUUCCCCGGCGAGGACAGCACCGGUCAGCCAUCUCCCUUCUCUCGACUCCGGCAGCAGUAGCAGCAGCUGUUAAUGAAGCCAGCCACCGCCGAAGCCCUGAAUCACCGACUCCCUCGAAUCCGGCGACCACAGGACAGCCAUGGCCGCCGCCCUUCCUCCCUCCGAUUUCCGGCGAAGCCGCAGCCGCAGCCGCCGACAACCCAGAACGGAAACCACCCUGUGGCUCCGCCGCCGUCCGUCGACCACCGGCAGCCACCGCGGCUGCCGUCUCCCUCGGAUCUCACACAAAACAGGGGCUCACCCCAGAUUUCAUUCAAACACUUAGCAUAGGGUUUUUGUGCAAAAACAUAUACUGCAAAGUCAUACACUGUAAAUAUGAAAUUAUAAAUAUCAUGUACUGUAAUGCUUAUAAAAUCUGAAAUUCUUUUCUUGCAAUAAAACACUCAGUGUAGAAAUUUCAGUUCA
Salvia miltiorrhiza (redroot sage) is the source of this 859-nucleotide long non-coding RNA. RefSeq lists it as uncharacterized. The transcript is spliced from 2 exons. The record is from RefSeq and is a predicted model, not a curated record. NCBI's taxonomy places the organism in Eukaryota, Viridiplantae, Streptophyta, Magnoliopsida, Lamiales, Lamiaceae.